UCUCUCUCUCUCUCUCUCUCUCUCUCUCUCUCUCUCUCGGGGGAGAGAGAGAGAGAGAGAGAGAGAGAGAGAGAGAGA
This 78-nucleotide microRNA precursor is filed under the name Marmota monax (woodchuck). The record is from RNAcentral. Lineage: Eukaryota; Metazoa; Chordata; Mammalia; Rodentia; Sciuridae.